Molecule: ribosomal RNA, 332 nt
Filed under: uncultured bacterium
Lineage: Bacteria
Description: bacterial SSU rRNA
Rfam family: Bacterial small subunit ribosomal RNA
Source: RNAcentral
CGUGUAGGCGGUUGGUCAAGUCUGGUGUGAAAGCCCGGGGCUUAGCCCCGGAAGUGCGCUGGAAACUAGCCAACUUGAGCGCGAUAGAGGAGGGUGGAAUUCCUGGUGUAGCGGUGAAAUGCGUAGAUAUCAGGAGGAACACCGGCGGCGAAGGCGGCCCUCUGGAUCGUUGCUGACGCUGAGACGCGAAAGCGUGGGGAGCAAACAGGAUUAGAUACCCUGGUAGUCCACGCUGUAAACGAUGGGUACUAGGUGUUCGGGGUGUUGACCCCCUGAGUGCCGACGCUAACGCAUUAAGUACCCCGCCUGGGGACUACGGCCGCAAGGCUAAA